GGUUGGACCACGGUUCAUAUACAAAUUGACGGUUCGAUUGUAGUCAAAACCGAUUUUAAAUUCAAAACGGUCUUAUCUUCUAUAGCAUCCGUCUACAGUAUCAGUUCAUGGUGGAGAAGAUGACGAGCAGAGAUCCGGCAGAUAAAGAAGCGGCCGAAGUAUAAAAAGAGACGAGAAAAGCUGAUGCGGAACUCAACAAGGACGCCGCUAAGGCUCACAAUGAAAACGGCUCGGCGCCUGGCUGAGCCCGGCGGACCUCACCCUCGAUACAAAACAUGAGGCACUGAACCUACCAAAACCACCACUGCCACCGAAGACUAUGUCGAUGAUUACACCACCCCUACUGCUGAUCCCCGUUAUCACCCUGGACCCACCUCCGGCGGUGCUUAUCGUUGAAGUAGCUAGCUGGGGCUUAGUUAAAGUUUCAAGCUAGUAGUGUAUAUUUUCCCGCUGAAAUUUUUAUUUUUUUAACUGUUUGGUCUUGAAUUUGACUGUAAACGACACUGUUUUUUCUGUUUGAAUUGAAUAAACUGGGCAAUUUGGUCUUA
This is a long non-coding RNA of Mangifera indica (mango), 548 nucleotides long. RefSeq lists it as uncharacterized. The record is from RefSeq and is a predicted model, not a curated record. Lineage: Eukaryota; Viridiplantae; Streptophyta; Magnoliopsida; Sapindales; Anacardiaceae. The transcript has 2 exons.